UGAGGAAUAUUGCACAAUGGGCGAAAGCCUGAUGCAGCGACGCCGCGUGGAUGAUGAAGGCCUUCGGGUCGUAAAAUCCUUUUCUGUGUGACGAGAACGGACGGUAGCACAGGAAUAAGUCUCGGCUAACUACGUGCCAGCAGCCGCGGUAAAACGUAGGAGACAAACGUUAUCCGGAGUUACUGGGCGUAAAGGGCGUGCAGGCGGUUAUCUAAGUCUGGUGUGAAAUCUGUCGGCUUAACCGGGAGAGGUCAUUGGAAACUGGAUAACUCGAGGACGGUAGAGGCGUGUGGAAUUCCGGGUGUAGUGGUGAAAUGCGUAGAUAUCCGGAGGAACACCAGUGGCGAAGGCGACACGCUGGGCCGUACCUGACGCUAAGACGCGACAGCAUGGGGAGCGAACGGG
Molecule: ribosomal RNA, 405 nt
Filed under: uncultured bacterium
Lineage: Bacteria
Description: bacterial SSU rRNA
Rfam family: Bacterial small subunit ribosomal RNA
Source: RNAcentral